UAUGUGAUUUUGCAUGGCAAGUACCGUAAUCCGGUGAAUAUAAUACGCACUUUUUCCCCAGCAUUUUUUACCUUCAGAAAGGGGUGCGUAUUAUACAUCCCUAUAGGAUUUGGGCAUAUUUUUUCCUAGCAGAAGCACAGGGUAUCAUACUGCCGUAUUACCUAUGCUGUUCACAGACAGAAUCGAUACCCCGCUAUACAUCGUAAUAUUCCUUCAUUAUCACAUAUAUAUUACUAUGUAACCCCUUUAGGAAAUCAUUGUUAUAGCAUGUAAUUAAAGAAAAUGUACACUUUAAGUCUGUUAAUAAAUAAACUGUUUCAAAAUGGCCUUUAAAAAUUAAUUUGAACUGCCUAUUCUUUAUCUUCGUGUACGCCGCCAUUACAGCUGUUAGUAAUAGAAUGCGGACUUGGAUGGCCACGUGCUAUUUGACGCCGAUCUUUGAAAACAGCUUACACAUCAUUUGGCUCAUUUUUAACCAUUUUCAUUUAAUGCUAAUUAAUUUAUUGCAAAUAAUUAUGAAUAUAAAUGAUUCUAUAACCUAUUCCGUUAAUUGAAGCCAUUGAAACAGUUGUGGUUCCCCACCGCUAACGCUUGACACCUUGGGUAUCUCAGACACCCCCUUAGGCUAUGUGUACUAUACACAACACAACUAUUUGUGCAUAUAUUUUAUUAUGUUCCAGGCCUCUAAUUGAUCACUUUGAUCGGAGUCAUUUAAGAAUUUAAUUACAUGUAGGUCCGUUAUCUCCAUACCUGUACAUCGUCCGUUUUUCACUUUACAGGGAUUGUAAUGACUAAACAAUUCUAUCACGCUUGUUAAAAGUAGUUGAUUUUAUUUACGGUAGAAUAUUUAAUACUAGGUCUAUAAAAAAAACAUUGAUUACGAAAUAAAGAUAUUACCGCGGUGUAUUAGUUACAAUAAAUCCGUAUCUAAGAAAAUAUUGUGUUUUUCUUAUUUCCGGUAGCGUAUUCCCGCGAUGAAGUUGAGCGUGCAUACAAAGUAUAACUGCUUUGUUGAUACUCAGGAUUACCGUUUGGUCAGUUUUUUUGAUGCGUAUUAUACAUCCCAACAAGCUUUUUUUCACCAUUUUCAGGCCCAAAGUGGGGGGUGCGUAUUGUACACUACUGCGUAUUAUAUUCACCGGAUUACGGUAGUAUCAGUAAUCGAAAUAUUUCUGGGAUAUUGUAUGGAUCCAGGCAAGAUUGAACUCUAGUUUUGUUCAACCAAACGCUCGACUGUCUCCGUUUAUCUCCGACAAGCAAGAGAGACUCUCUGUUUUGUCAGAUAUUAACGGAGACAGUCGAGCGUCUGGUUGAACAAGACUAUAGUACGUAUGAAAUCAUACGACUACAAAAAAUAUCUAAACGGUUUGUAACAUUUAAAAUCUUACUAUUUUCAUGGUAUUAAUAAAUAGGUUUUUCAGGAACUAAGUGUUGUCAGCGGUAUUGUUUUGUGCUUAGGUCCAAACGCUGUUUCACUUUCGGUUUGCCCGAGUAAGUGCAUUAGGAGAGUUGAUUAAAAUCAACUCCCAAAAAUUAAGCCUUAAGAACCCACCUCAGAAAUAUGCUAUACAAAAUUUAAUUAGGAAACAGUAUGUCCUGCAGAGGGUCACUUCAGAGCAAUAUUUUGAUUAUGAAUUAACAUUAAAUAAGCGUUUUACUGCCUAGAGUAUCUAAAAUGCAUUUCUAAAUCUAAAAUUUGUAAGCAUACUAGCAGAAUUUUAUUCUGUUCAUCUAAUGAUUAAAGUGAGCAAUGCGAAAUGUAAAAUUAAAUAGCCGCUAGCCAGAGAACUAAGGAAUUAAUUUUGAUGGCCGAAAUCAUUUUCAAUUGCAUAAAUUGAUUCUGGCUUGUUUUUUCAUAUUUUAUUCAACUUUUAUCUAAUAAUCACAAUUUAUCUGUUUCUUUAAAGUUAACAAACAUACCUGCUCUUUGAAAACAUUCAAAGAUUGUAGAAACUCUGCAUUUUUUCUGAGGUUCUCGUCUCUCUUCUUCACACUGGCUUCCCUUUUCUUCGGUUGUUCUGCUUUGUUUUCUAUGGAGAAAGAUAUUUCAUUACCGGUACUUGAAAAGACUUAACUAUUUUGUCAAGAUUGGUAGCUUAUUAUUCCACAAAACAAAUAUAUUUGGCUUCUUAUCCAUGUUAAUUGCAGAGAUAUUGAUUGAAGCUUACUAAAUUCAAAAAUAUAUUCAUUAUUUGUCUUCUUUACAGGGGUAUAUAGUCAUGAUUUUUGUUAGAUCAUUAGGAAUGCAUUACUAAAGCAUCAUAAGCAAUAAAAAUAGAAAAACAAAAUUUAGCCCAAAAGUGUGACCAUGCUGCUUUAAAGGUACUUAAACACGAUUUUAGAUGAAAAUUUUAUUUUUCAUUUCGUAAAAUGGUUUACUUGUGUAAUUUGAAUGAUUCACCAAAAUUUGAAUGUUAGAAAUUAAAUAACAAGCAAGAUAAAUUGCUGCUAUGUAAACAAAGCUCGGGUCUUAUAUUUGUUUACAAAUAAUGUAAAGAUAUUAUCAUUUCUUUGACAAAACUUGUGGCAAACAAUGUAAACUGAUUUAAUGUGUUCAUAAAUUAUUUUAUCAACAAUAAAAAGCAAUAUUAGAUUGAAACUUGUACUUUUAUAACACAUAUUUUAACAAUAACAGGACUCGAGCUUUGCUUAAAAACAAAGAAAUCUAACCACCGUAACUCACUUGUUACUUGAUAUUUGACUUUCAACUUUUGACAAAGCUAUCAAAAUAUCCAUAUUGACAAUUCUAAAUUGAAAUAAUUGUGUGCGAAAAAUUUGAGCUCAAAUCGUGUCCAAGUUCCUUUAACAUGACAAUGCAGAGUAAGUAAUACAGUAACAGAUAUAAACCUUUGUUGUCAGAUGUCUUUGAUUUCUUUUGAUGGUCAUCCUUUUUUACUUGGCUCUUUCUUCCUCUUUUGGCAACAGGUUUGUCUAAAAAACAAAUAUAAAAAUGCUAUUACGAAUUCCAAUGAUGCAUUGUAUUUUGAAGUCAUUUACAUGCCAUUUCAAUACUUGUCUUUUGUAUAAAUCAUCUCAUAGUAAUUACUUUCUAAAACAUGUUAUUUAAAAGAACGCAUAUUUUUCUUACAUACCCAAAAAUUCUUGGGAAAUUUUCAAAAUAACUUAACAAAUGUCUCUUUUUUAUCCCCAAUUUUUUUUUUUUUCAAUAUUUUGUUUUUGUUGCACAGUUAGGCUAAAACACAGAUAUAUUACUCAACCACAUCAAUUAUUUACUAGACUAAACCAGUCUAUUUAAUGAUAAACUUGAAAAGCUGAAAGACCCUCUCAUUUUGAAAAAAAAAAAAUUAUUUCCUUAAAAAAAAAGUGCAUGUCAAUAUCCUAGUAUUAUGAGCAUGAGCACUGAUAUAUCAAAACUGGUAUCUUACCAAUGGGAACUGCAACAUUGUUAUUCAGAUCUUGGACAUUCACGUCUUCCACACUUUUUUCUGGAAAGAAAAAUAUAAAACACUCUCAAAUUGUUACACAAAAGGACUUGCUGAUCCUUAGCAUUUAUAAUGUUCUUUUUAUUGUAGUAGUGUCAAUUGAUAGUGAAAAAAGUUGUAUAUUAUUACAUAAUAGGUUUUGUACUAUCUGACUACAAAAAUAUAUUGGAUUUAUCAAUCUCAUGGACAGUGAUGCGAAGCCGAUAGAACUAAUCCUAUCUUUUGUGUUCUCUCUCUUUCCCCCGCAGAGGUUUGACUUUGAACAAAUCUCGACCCUUCUCCAGAAACAACAAAGUGACGUUAGGGAAACUAAGUACUCCAAAUAGUUUAAAAACAUACAGAACCCAUUUUUUGUAUAAAAUAUUAUGAAGUGUCAUGGUAAGUAAUGAAGCAUCGUCCAUAUUUGCCAAAUGUAAAUUCGUGACAUUUGGAAUGGUAAUAAGUCAACCUAGGUACAUGUAUUUCACUUAAUAAGUGAUUUUAAGAUGCAUAAUUACCCUUCUGUUUUUCAUUUUUCUCUGCAAUGUAUUCCUCUGCCAUUUUCUCCAAUGCUUUCUUUCCCUCUGUUGUUGAUUCUAAAUCAUGGUAAGAGAAAACAGAUUAAUUUAUAUUUAAAUUCAUAAAAUGAUAAUAACAAUACUAUUUAUAGUUCAAAUUAAAUUUUUGGGCGCAGAGGGCACACAAGACUACAAUAGUAAGAGAAAAAUAUAACUAUGUACUUCUACUAUAGGUUGGGUGCACGUGCAUUUAGAUCUGCACUUCAAUUUGAAAUAAACAACAAAGAAUUCAGUUAUAAAAAGCCUAUAACAAAAUAAUUCGUUUUUUAACUAAAAAACUGAUAUGCAUGCCUUAAAAACACAAACCUUUGAUCAUCAAAAUCCGUGCACUAUGGAUUCCUGGAAAGCCAUGGCAGCUAGCUUUCACCGUUUCACCCACGUUGUAGCCGUUAAAAUCUUUCCUCGGUUCUUUAAUUCGAGUCAGACUGAUUGUGCUUACUUUUUCUUCGUCUAUCCAUUCCACAAGCGCGUGCAUCUUGUUUGUAAAUAUGGGUAAAUUAUUCCUUAUUCCCUUCGACCUUUUGGCCUUUCACCUACGGUCUUGCUUAAUUUUUCAAACUGGUCAAUGUGACCAAUGAAAAUGCUUCGUUUUCCCGCAAAGACUUUUGACCAAUCAGCGAGGAGAAUGCUUCAACAUCGGAAAUUAAUAGACUAUUGAAAUAUAGUUUAAUUGAACUUAUAAGAUAACCAGUUGAUAAUAAUUUGUGGUUUUCAUAUAUAAUAACAUUUAUCAAACUGUCGUCACUUCACUGAUCGAUAGUUAAACCUUUAUAAUGAAACUUCGGCAAUACGGAAAAUGCCGAUCUCUUUUCUUCCGGUUACAACAUCCGGUAAAAUCGAAGAAGAAGGCGCCAUUAUUGAAUGUAGAAACAUGAAUCCCCAAAAACGCAGUCGGUAUAAAGUUUAUCUCGCUGAUAAAUCUGUCCCAGUUCCGAAAGUUUCGCUUUGGCGAAUGACGAAAGAAGAAAAUACAUAUGAUGAACGCAAUGAAGCCUCCUUCCCAAGAGACCAUGUCCGACGAUGCUCCAGUGAAAUUCAUAGAUUCGUUUCACCAGCAAGCAUUUCCCGACAACCUGGGUGUACCUAACAUUUCUGAUGCUGAAGAAGAGCAAGGAGAAUUUGCAAGCAAGGCCAUUAGAGGAUUGAAGAUGAGGACUUUGAGCAAGAUGAAGACUGUUGUGAUAGUGAUCAGACCAGUGUCCCUUCCAAUGCAGGAAAUACGUUGGAAGCUGAUCAGCCUCUAUACAGUGGAGCUACUAUAACCCUGGCCACAAGCAUGAUUCUGCUGAUUUCGUAUGCAAUGCAACACUCUUUGACUGGGGAAGCCAUAGCUGAUCUACUGGUCCUGAUAGACCUGCAUUGCCUCACACCAAAUCUGUGCCAGCGGAACAUAAAAACCUUCAUGGACUUCUUUAGGAACUGUAAAUCACCUUUACAGUUCCAUUACUAUUGUGAGAACUGUUACUGAGUUCCUGAAUUUCUUAAAAAUAUUAAAUAUGUACUCUUAAAUGAAACCAGCUGUGUAAUGGUAAUUGUAAUAAAUAAAAUGUUAUUAUUGCCUCUGAGAGCACUGAAUCUAUCAUUUUCAUUUUUGGCAUUAAUAUGUCUGAUUUGACUGUCUUUCAAAUUUAUAAAGCAAGUAAUAUGUAUGAUAGAUUUGUGUGCAAAGGUGGCAUAUUACAUGAUGACUGUAUAUUGCAUUUUGUUUUAUUUUUACUACAUGUACUAUAAGUCAAAAUUGUUAUGUGCAGGAGUAGUAUUCAAAUGAAAGUGUAUGGAACGAAAUACUUAAAAAAGUUAAAUGAAAAAAUAAAUGCAUGCAUAAAAUCUCACUAGAACAUACAAUGAAAUGUAGAUACCGGUAAAUGAGAUUGGAAAUGUUAUUCGGCAAAUUCUUUAAAAAAUCAUUAAAAAAAAAUAAAAAUAAGACUAUCUCCAAAAAGGCACACUUUUGGUACACCAGCUUUAGUUUAAAAUUACUAAGUCUAAAUUAGAUACAUUUUAGGCACACUGAAAAUUUUCUAAGUCCAUCAGGAAAAAUACUUAAAACAGUUAAAAAUUUCUAAGUUCCAAUUAGGCACAUGUUAGGUACCUAUAAAAAUAUCUAAGUUAAUAAUAGGCACAUUUCAGGCACACUGCAAAAAGACAAAGUCCAGCAUAGGUAUCUUAUAGGUACACUGCAAAAAGUUUAAGUCCAGCAUAGGCAUUUUAUAGGUACACCAUGAAAAAGAUAAGUCCAGUAUAGGCACAUAGUAGGUACAUUGAAAAAAAUAUAAGUUCAUUUUUGAUACUUUUGAGGUAAGCCCUUUUUUGUACCUAUUUUAAUAGGUACAUAUGAAGUACUCUUUAGGCACAGAUAAAGUAUGCCUAUAUGUACUUUUUUUUGGUAUGGGAUGAAUUGAAAGGGUGAAGAACUUGAUUGUAUUAUUAUUAUAACUACCGAAUGUGUUCAAGCCUUGAAUUGCCCUUUGCCCCCCCUUUCUAGCACUGUAUACAUUCCUUUCUAAUGAAGCAUGUUGGUCGUG
Molecule: long non-coding RNA, 6525 nt
Organism: Magallana angulata
Lineage: Eukaryota; Metazoa; Mollusca; Bivalvia; Ostreida; Ostreidae
Exons: 3
Source: RefSeq, a predicted model, not a curated record